RNAcentral lists this ribosomal RNA (497 nucleotides) under uncultured bacterium. Its description in RNAcentral is "partial 16S ribosomal RNA". It matches the Rfam family "Bacterial small subunit ribosomal RNA", at positions 28 to 507 of the family's 1533-position model. The record is from RNAcentral.
GAUGAACGCUGGCGGCGUGCCUAAUACAUGCAAGUCGAGCGAACAGACGAGGAGCUUGCUCCUCUGACGUUAGCGGCGGACGGGUGAGUAACACGUGGAUAACCUACCUAUAAGACUGGGAUAACUUCGGGAAACCGGAGCUAAUACCGGAUAAUAUAUUGAACCGCAUGGUUCAAUAGUGAAAGACGGUUUUGCUGUCACUUAUAGAUGGAUCCGCGCCGCAUUAGCUAGUUGGUAAGGUAACGGCUUACCAAGGCAACGAUGCGUAGCCGACCUGAGAGGGUGAUCGGCCACACUGGAACUGAGACCCGGUCCAGACUCCUACGGGAGGCAGCAGUAGGGAAUCUUCCGCAAUGGGCGAAAGCCUGACGGAGCAACGCCGCGUGAGUGAUGAAGGUCUUCGGAUCGUAAAACUCUGUUAUUAGGGAAGAACAAAUGUGUAAGUAACUAUGCACGUCUUGACGGUACCUAAUCAGAAAGCCACGGCUAACUACGUG